RNAcentral lists this ribosomal RNA (253 nucleotides) under uncultured bacterium. Its description in RNAcentral is "partial 16S ribosomal RNA". It matches the Rfam family "Bacterial small subunit ribosomal RNA", at positions 524 to 776 of the family's 1533-position model. The record is from RNAcentral.
UACAGAGGUCUCAAGCGUUGUUCGGAUUUAUUGGGCGUAAAGGGCGCGUAGGCGGCGGGGUAAGUCGGGUGUGAAAUCUCAGGGCUCAACCCUGAAACUGCACUUGAUACUGCUCUGCUUGAGGACUGGAGAGGAGACUGGAAUUCACGGUGUAGCAGUGAAAUGCGUAGAUAUCGUGAGGAAGACCAGUGGCGAAGGCGGGUCUCUGGACAGUUCCUGACACUGAGACACGAAGGCCAGGGGAGCAAACGGG